RNAcentral lists this unclassified non-coding RNA (327 nucleotides) under plant metagenome. Its description in RNAcentral is "partial contains 5.8S ribosomal RNA, internal transcribed spacer 2, and large subunit ribosomal RNA". The stretch from base 1 to 105 matches the Rfam family "5.8S ribosomal RNA", at positions 50 to 154 of the family's 154-position model. The record is from RNAcentral.
AAAAUGCGAUAAGUAAUGUGAAUUGCAGAAUUCAGUGAAUCAUCGAAUCUUUGAACGCACAUUGCGCCCUUUGGUAUUCCAAAGGGCAUGCCUGUUCGAGCGUCAUUUGUACCCUCAAGCUUUGCUUGGUGUUGGGCGUCUUUUUGUCUCUCCCCUUGUUGGGGGAGACUCGCCUUAAAACGAUUGGCAGCCGACCUACUGGUUUUCGGAGCGCAGCACAAAUUUGCGCCUUCCAAUCCACGGGGCGGCAUCCAGCAAGCCUUUGUUUUCUAUAACAAAUCCACAUUUUGACCUCGGAUCAGGUAGGGAUACCCGCUGAACUUAAGC